GGAUGGUUAACUCAGUUGGUAGAGCGCUUCGUUUACAUCGAAGAUGUCACAGGUUCGAGUCCUGUACCGUCCA
This 73-nucleotide transfer RNA is filed under the name Candidatus Berkelbacteria bacterium. RNAcentral describes it as "tRNA-Val". It matches the Rfam family "tRNA". Rfam says of the family: Transfer RNA (tRNA) molecules are approximately 80 nucleotides in length. Their secondary structure includes four short double-helical elements and three loops (D, anti-codon, and T loops). Further hydrogen bonds mediate the characteristic L-shaped molecular structure. tRNAs have two regions of fundamental functional importance: the anti-codon, which is responsible for specific mRNA codon recognition, and the 3' end, to which the tRNAs corresponding amino acid is attached (by aminoacyl-tRNA synthetases). tRNAs cope with the degeneracy of the genetic code in two manners: having more than one tRNA (with a specific anti-codon) for a particular amino acid; and 'wobble' base-pairing, i.e. permitting non-standard base-pairing at the 3rd anti-codon position. The record is from RNAcentral. Lineage: Bacteria; Candidatus Berkelbacteria.